This 492-nucleotide ribosomal RNA is filed under the name uncultured bacterium. RNAcentral's name for it is "bacterial LSU rRNA". It matches the Rfam family "Bacterial large subunit ribosomal RNA", at positions 14 to 508 of the family's 2925-position model. The record is from RNAcentral.
AGGGCACACGGCGGAUGCCUUGGCACCAGGAGACGAUGAAGGACGCGGAAACCUGCGAAAAUCCACGGGGAGCUGGACUCGAGCUUUGAUCCGUGGGUGUCCGAAUGGGGCAACCCGGUGGGCGUCAUGGCCCAUCAUCGUACGCUGAAUACAUAGGCGUGCGAAGUCAACGCGGGGAACUGAAACAUCUAAGUACCCGUAGGAAAGGAAAUCAACUGAGACUCCGUGAGUAGUGGCGAGCGAAAGCGGACUAGCCCAAACCGUUGGGGUAACUCAACGGGGUUGUGGGGCUCCGACAUGGGAUCUGGAGGACUAGCAGAACGGCUUGGGAAGGCCGGCCAGAGCGGGUGACAGCCCCGUAUGCGAAAGUCCGAGAGACCCUAGGAGAACCCCGAGUAGGGCGGGGCACGUGGAACCCUGUCCGAAGCUGGGAGGACCAUCUUCCAAGGCUAAGUACUCCCUGGUGACCGAUAGUGAACGAGUACCGUGAGG